UGGGGAAUCUUGGACAAUGGGCGCAAGCCUGAUCCAGCCAUGCCGCGUGAGUGACGAAGGCCUUAGGGUUGUAAAGCUCUUUUGCCGGGGACGAUAAUGACGGUACCCGGAGAAUAAGUCCCGGCUAACUUCGUGCCAGCAGCCGCGGUAAUACGAAGGGGACUAGCGUUGUUCGGAAUUACUGGGCGUAAAGCGCACGUAGGCGGAUUUGUAAGUCAGGGGUGAAAUCCCGGGGCUCAACCUCGGAACUGCCUUUGAUACUGCAAAUCUCGAGUCCGAUAGAGGUGGGUGGAAUUCCUAGUGUAGAGGUGAAAUUCGUAGAUAUUAGGAAGAACACCGGUGGCGAAGGCGGCCCACUGGAUCGGUACUGACGCUGAGGUGCGAAAGCGUGGGGAGCAAACAGG
Molecule: ribosomal RNA, 404 nt
Filed under: bacterium
Lineage: Bacteria
Also listed under: 2 other names
Description: partial 16S ribosomal RNA
Rfam family: Bacterial small subunit ribosomal RNA
Source: RNAcentral